GACGAACGCUGGCGGCGUGCCUAAUACAUGCAAGUAGAACGCUGAAGGAGGAGCUUGCUUCUCCGGAUGAGUUGCGAACGGGUGAGUAACGCGUAGGUAACCUGCCUGGUAGCGGGGGAUAACUAUUGGAAACGAUAGCUAAUACCGCAUAACAGUAGAUAUUGCAUGAUAUCUGCUUGAAAGGUGCAAUUGCAUCACUACCAGAUGGACCUGCGUUGUAUUAGCUAGUUGGUGAGGUAACGGCUCACCAAGGCGACGAUACAUAGCCGACCUGAGAGGGGGAUCGGCCACACUGGGACUGAGACACGGCCCAGACUCCUACGGGAGGCAGCAGUAGGGAAUCUUCGGCAAUGGACGGAAGUCUGACCGAGCAACGCCGCGUGAGUGAAGAAGGUUUUCGGAUCGUAAAGCUCUGUUGUAAGAGAAGAACGAGUGUGAGAGUGGAAAGUUCACACCGUGACGGUAUCUUACCAGAAAGGGACGGCUAACUACGUG
This 495-nucleotide ribosomal RNA is filed under the name uncultured bacterium. RNAcentral describes it as "partial 16S ribosomal RNA". It matches the Rfam family "Bacterial small subunit ribosomal RNA", at positions 28 to 507 of the family's 1533-position model. The record is from RNAcentral.